Molecule: ribosomal RNA, 494 nt
Filed under: uncultured bacterium
Lineage: Bacteria
Description: partial 16S ribosomal RNA
Rfam family: Bacterial small subunit ribosomal RNA
Source: RNAcentral
GACGAACGCUGGCGGCGCGCUUAACACAUGCAAGUCGAACGGAAAGGCCUGCUUUCCCUUGUGGUUUGCGGGUACUCGAGUGGCUAACGGGUGAGUAACACGUGAGUGAUCUGCCCCCAACUUGGGUAUAAGCCUGGGAAACUGGGUCUAAUUCCCGAUAGGACUGCAGGGUGGUGCCUGUGGUGGAAAACGUUUUUCUAGUGGUUGGGGAUGAGCUCGCGGCCUAUCAGCUUGUUGGUGGGGUAAUGGCCUACCAAGGCGGCGACGGGUAGCCGGCCUGAGAGGGUGGACGGUGGCACUGAGACUGAGAUACGGCCCAGACGCCUACGAGAGGCAGCAGAGGGGAAGAUUGCACAAUGGGCGGAAGCCUGCUGCAGCGACGCAGCGUGGGGGAUGUCGGCCUUCGGGUAGCAAACUCCUUUCGAACGCGAGGAAGCCACCUGGUUGGAAGGGUGGUGACGGUAGUGGUAGAAGAAGCACCGGCUAACUACGUG